This 383-nucleotide ribosomal RNA is filed under the name uncultured eukaryote. Its description in RNAcentral is "partial 18S ribosomal RNA". It matches the Rfam family "Eukaryotic small subunit ribosomal RNA", at positions 592 to 976 of the family's 1831-position model. The record is from RNAcentral.
CAAUAGCGUAUAUUAAAGUUGUUGCAAUUAAAAAGCUCGUAGUUGGAUUUCUGGUGGGAGCGAUCGGUCUGGCGCUUAGCGCGAGUACUUGCAUCGUCUCCGGCCAUCCUUGGGGAGAGUCUGUCUGGCAUUAAGUUGUCGGGCAGAGGAUCCUCAUCGUUUACUGUGAAAAAAUUAGAGUGUUCAAAGCAGGCUUAUGCCGUUGAAUAUAUUAGCAUGGAAUAAUAAGAUAGGACUUUGGUACUAUUUUGUUGGUUUGCGCACCAAAGUAAUGAUUAAUAGGGACAGUUGGGGGUAUUCGUAUUCCGUUGUCAGAGGUGAAAUUCUUGGAUUUACGGAAGACGAACUACUGCGAAAGCAUUUACCAAGGAUGUUUUCAUUAA